This 508-nucleotide ribosomal RNA is filed under the name uncultured bacterium. RNAcentral's name for it is "partial 16S ribosomal RNA". It matches the Rfam family "Bacterial small subunit ribosomal RNA", at positions 28 to 523 of the family's 1533-position model. The record is from RNAcentral.
GACGAACGCUGGCGGCGCGCUUAACACAUGCAACUCGAGCGAGAACCAGGGCUUCGGCCCUGGGGACAGCGGCGAACGGGUGAGUAACACGUGGGUAAUCCACCCUCGGCACCGGAAUAGCCCGGGGAAACCCGGAUUAAUGCCGGAUGGCCCGCCGGCCCUGCGGGGCUGGCGGAAAAGGUAGCUUCGGCCUCCGGCCGAGGACGAGCCCGCGACGGAUUAGCUUGUUGGUGGGGUAACGGCCUACCAAGGCUGCGGUCCGUAGCUGGUCUGAGAGGAGGAUCAGCCACACUGGGACUGAGACACGGCCCAGACUCCUACGGGAGGCAGCAGUGGGGAAUCUUGCGCAAUGGGCGAAAGCCUGACGCAGCGACGCCGCGUGAGGGAAGAAGGCCUUCGGGUUGUAAACCUCUUUCAGGAGGGACGAAGCCACUCGGGUUAAUAGCCCAGAGGGUGACGGUACCUCCAGAAGAAGCCCCGGCUAACUACGUGCCAGCCGCCGCCGUAA